RNAcentral lists this non-coding RNA (264 nucleotides) under Mus musculus (house mouse). RNAcentral's name for it is "bip internal ribosome entry site (IRES)". It matches the Rfam family "bip internal ribosome entry site (IRES)". Rfam says of the family: This family represents the bip internal ribosome entry site (IRES). BiP protein expression has been found to be significantly enhanced by the heat shock response due to IRES-dependent translation. It is thought that this translational mechanism is essential for the survival of cells under stress. The record is from Rfam by way of RNAcentral. Lineage: Eukaryota; Metazoa; Chordata; Mammalia; Rodentia; Muridae.
UACUGGCCGAGACAACACUGACCUGGACACUUGGGCUUCUGCGUGUGUGUGAGGUAAGCGCCGCGGCCUGCUGCUAGGCCUGCUCCGAGUCUGCUUCGUGUCUCCUCCUGACCCCGAGGCCCCUGUCGCCCUCAGACCAGAACCGUCGUCGCGUUUCGGGGCCACAGCCUGUUGCUGGACUCCUAAGACUCCUGCCUGACUGCUGAGCGACUGGUCCUCAGCGCCGGCAUGAUGAAGUUCACUGUGGUGGCGGCGGCGUUGCUG